UAACUGCGAGUGAAGCGGGAAAAGCUCAAAUUUAAAAUCUGGCAGCUUCGCUGUCCGAGUUGUAAUCUGGAGAAGCAUUUUCCGUGCUGUACCGUGUACAAGUCUCUUGGAACAGAGCGUCAUAGAGGGUGAGAAUCCCGUCUUUGACACGGACUACCAGUGCUUUGUGAUAUGCUCUCAAAGAGUCGAGUUGUUUGGGAAUGCAGCUCAAAAUGGGUGGUAAAUUCCAUCUAAAGCUAAAUAUUGGCGAGAGACCGAUAGCGAACAAGUACCGUGAGGGAAAGAUGAAAAGCACUUUGGAAAGAGAGUUAAACAGUACGUGAAAUUGUUGAAAGGGAAACGCUUGAAGUCAGUCGCGUUGUCCGGGACUCAGCCUUGCUUCUGCUUGGUGUACUUCCUGGUUGACGGGCCAACAUCAAUUUUGAUCAGUGGAUAAAGGCAGAGGGAAUGUGGCACCUCCGGGUGUGUUAUAGCCCUUUGUCACAUGCAUUGGUUGGGAUUGAGGACCGCAGCACGCCUUUUGGCCGGGGUUCGCCCACGUACCGUGCUUAGGAUGUUGGCAUAAUGGCUUUAAUCGACCCGUCUUGAAACACGGACCAAGGAGUCUAACAUGCCCGCAAGUGUUAGGGUGGUAAACCCUUGCGCGUAAUGAAAGUGAAAGUUGGGACCUCUGUCAUGGAGGGCACCGACGCCCGGCCUGAAACUUCUGUGACGGAGCCGCGGUAGAGCGUGUAUGUUGGGACCCGAAAGAUGGUGAACUAUGCCUGAAUAGGGCGAAGCCAGAGGAAACUCUGGUGGAGGCUCGUAGCGAUUCUGACGUGCAAUCGAUCG
This 831-nucleotide ribosomal RNA is filed under the name Neocotylidia diaphana. RNAcentral describes it as "Cotylidia diaphana LSU rRNA". It matches the Rfam family "Eukaryotic large subunit ribosomal RNA", at positions 84 to 904 of the family's 3401-position model. Lineage: Eukaryota; Fungi; Basidiomycota; Agaricomycetes; Hymenochaetales. The record is from RNAcentral.